This 68-nucleotide transfer RNA is filed under the name Marmota monax (woodchuck). RNAcentral's name for it is "tRNA.Val". The stretch from base 3 to 63 matches the Rfam family "tRNA", at positions 6 to 65 of the family's 71-position model. From Rfam's summary of the family: Transfer RNA (tRNA) molecules are approximately 80 nucleotides in length. Their secondary structure includes four short double-helical elements and three loops (D, anti-codon, and T loops). Lineage: Eukaryota; Metazoa; Chordata; Mammalia; Rodentia; Sciuridae. The record is from RNAcentral.
GUUGUGGCUCAGUGGUAGAGUGCUUGCCUCACACAUGAGAGACCCUGGGUUCAAUCCUCAGCACCACA